AUUGAACGCUGGCGGCAGGCCUAACACAUGCAAGUCGAGCGAGCGGCGGACGGGUGAGUAAUGUCUGGGACACUGCCUGAUGGAGGGGGAUAACUACUGGAAACGGUAGCUAAUACCGCAUACCAUCAGAUGUGCCCAGAUGGGAUUAGCUCGUCGGUGGGGUAACGGCUCACCUAGGCGACGAUCCCUAGCUGGGCUGAGAGGAUGACCAGCAUAACGGGAACGGAUACACGGUCCAGACGCCUACGGGAGGGAGCAGGGGGGAAUAUUGCACAAUGGGCGCAAGCCUGAUGCAGCCAUGCCGCGUGUGUGAAGAAGGCCUUAGGGUUGUAAAGCACUGUCAGAGGGGAGGCGUUACCCGCAGAAGAAGCACCGGCUAACUCCGUGCCAGCAGCCGCGGUAAUAC
Molecule: ribosomal RNA, 406 nt
Filed under: uncultured bacterium
Lineage: Bacteria
Description: partial 16S ribosomal RNA
Rfam family: Bacterial small subunit ribosomal RNA
Source: RNAcentral